Molecule: ribosomal RNA, 2187 nt
Filed under: anaerobic digester metagenome
Description: bacterial LSU rRNA
Rfam family: Bacterial large subunit ribosomal RNA
Source: RNAcentral
GAAUCCGGGAGGACCACCUCCCAAGGCUAAAUACUUCCUGGCGACCGAUAGUGAACUAGUACCGUGAGGGAAAGGUGAAAAGCACCCCGGGAGGGGAGUGAAAUAGAACCUGAAACCGUGCUGCCUACAAGCAGUGGGAGGGCUAUGGCAUUGCCAGCCUGACCGCGUACUUUUUGUAGAACGGACCGGCGAGUUAUGGUGUGUGGCGAGGUUAAGCCUAGAGGGUGGAGCCGUAGCGAAAGCGAGUCUUAAUAGGGCGACAAGUCACAUGCUGUAGACCCGAAACCGGGCGAUCUAUCCAUGGACAGGGUGAAGCGGGAGUAACGUUCCGUGGAGGCCCGAACCACACUGGUGUUGAAAAACCAGGGGAUGAGCUGUGGAUAGGGGUGAAAAGCCAAUCGAGCUCGGAGAUAGCUGGUUCUCCCCGAAAUAGCUUUAGGGCUAGCCUCGGAGGUUAGUUUGCGGAGGUAGAGCACUGAUUGGGCUAGGGGCCCUGAAAGGUUACUGACCCCUUUCAAACUCCGAAUGCCGCAAAGUGAGACUCCGGGAGUCAGACUGUGGGGGCUAAGCUCCAUAGUCGAGAGGGAAACAGCCCAGACCGCCAGCUAAGGUCCCUAAUUGACGUCUAAGUGGCGAAGGAUGUGGAACUGCCCAGACAACCAGGAUGUUGGCUUAGAAGCAGCCAUACAUUUAAAGAGUGCGUAAUAGCUCACUGGUCGAGUGGGGCUGCGCCGAAAAUGUCCGGGGCUUAAGUCGUCAACCGAAGCUGCGGAACUCAUUAAAUUGGGUUGGUAGGGGAGCGUUGCCUGCUGGUAGAAGCAUGACCGAAAGGACGUGUGGACGGCAGGGAAGUGAGAAUGCCGGUAUGAGUAGCGAAAAGGCAGGUGAGAAUCCUGCCCGCCGAAAGCCUAAGGUUUCCUGAGGAAGGUUCGUCCUCUCAGGGUAAGCCGGGACCUAAGCCGAGGCCGAAGGGCGUAGGCGAUGGACAACUGGUUGAAAUUCCAGUGCUGCCUCGAUCACGAUUGAGGGAUGUGGGGACGCAGAAGGGUAGGUACAGCAGGCUGAUGGAAUAGCCUGUCCAAGCGAGUAGGGUGCCAGGUAGGCAAAUCCGCCUGGCGUAAAGCCUGAGACGCGAUGGGGUGCGGAUACGUCCGCUGAACUGGCCGAUCCCCCGCUGACGAGAAAAGCCGCUACCGAGUGAUCAGGCACCCGUACCGCAAACCGACACAGGUAGGCGGGGUGAGAAUCCUAAGGCGCGCGAGAGAACCCUCGUUAAGGAACUCGGCAAAAUGACCCCGUAACUUUGGGAGAAGGGGUGCCCCGUCAGGGUGGAAGGCUUCGCGCCUCGAGCCCGAGGGGGUCGCAGAGAAACGGCCCGAGCGACUGUUUACCAAAAACACAGGUCUCUGCUAAGUCGAAAGACGAAGUAUAGGGGCUGACGCCUGCCCAGUGCCGGAAGGUUAAGGGGAGGGCUUAGCGUAAGCAAAGGUCUGAACCGAAGCCCCGGUGAACGGCGGCCGUAACUAUAACGGUCCUAAGGUAGCGAAAUUCCUUGUCGGGUAAGUUCCGACCUGCACGAAUGGCGCAACGACUUGGGCGCUGUCUCAACGAGGGACUCGGCGAAAUUGUAAGUGCCCGUGAAGAUACGGGCUACCCACGACAAGACGGAAAGACCCCAUGGAGCUUUACUGUAGCCUGAGAUUGGAUCUUGGCAAAGCAUGUACAGGAUAGGUGGGAGGCAUGGAAGCCUGGGCGCUAGUCCAGGUGGAGCCGACGUUGGGAUACCACCCUUGUUUUGCUGGGUUUCUAACCCAAGACCGUGAUCCGGCCGGGGGACAUUCUCUGGUGGGCAGUUUGACUGGGGCGGUCGCCUCCCAAAAGGUAACGGAGGCGCCCAAAGGUUCCCUCAGCGCGGUUGGAACUCGCGCGCAGAGUGUAAAGGCAGAAGGGAGCUUGACUGCGAGAGGUACAUCUCGAGCAGGGACGAAAGUCGGGCUUAGUGAUCAGGUGGUUCCGAGUGGAAGGGCCAUCGCUUAACGGAUAAAAGCUACCCUGGGGAUAACAGGCUUAUCUCUCCCAAGAGUCCAUAUCGACGGGGAGGUUUGGCACCUCGAUGUCGGCUCAUCGCAUCCUGGGGCUGAAGUAGGUCCCAAGGGUUGGGCUGUUCGCCCAUUAAAGCGGUACGCG